RNAcentral lists this ribosomal RNA (119 nucleotides) under Petromyzon marinus (sea lamprey). Lineage: Eukaryota; Metazoa; Chordata; Hyperoartia; Petromyzontiformes; Petromyzontidae. The record is from RNAcentral.
UGAUAUGACCAGAAUACCCUCAAUGUGCCCGAUCUCAUCAGUUUGUGGAAGCUAAGCGGUCAUGAGCCUAGUUAGUACUUGGAUGGAAGAUUAUCUGGGCAUAACAGGCGUUGCAGGCU